This 135-nucleotide non-coding RNA is filed under the name Symbiodinium sp. CCMP2430. The record is from RNAcentral. Lineage: Eukaryota; Dinophyceae; Suessiales; Symbiodiniaceae.
AACACAACUACGAAUGAAGAGAGAAAAGAGCACAAAAGAAGCAAGAGAAUUUGUGAAGAGAGCGCGCACUUCACUUGCCUCUCUUCAUAUUCUCUUGUCCUUUUGGCUCUUUUCACCCUUCAUUCUCCCAUCCUG